UAUCUCUGUAGAGUCUGCAUAUCAAUAAGCGGAGGAAAAGAGACUAACAAGGAUUCCCCUAGUAACGGCGAGUGAAGCGGGAAGAGCUCAAAUUUGAAAUCUUAAAGGGUUUCCCUUUACGAAUUGUAGUUUAAAGAAGUGUUUUCUGUUGAGGUUUUGGUAAAAGUUCUUUGGAAUAGGACAUCAUAGAGGGUGAGAAUCCCGUAUUCGACCUUUACUUUCAACUUUGUGAUACACUUUCAAAGAGUCGGAUUGUUUGGGAAUGCAGUCCAAAAUGGGUGGUAAAUUUCAUCUAAAGCUAAAUAUUGGCGAGAGACCGAUAGCGAACAAGUACCGUGAGGGAAAGAUGAAAAGAACUUUGAAAAGAGAGUUAAACAGUACGUGAAAUUGUCAAAAGGGAAGCGUUUGACACCAGUGUUGUUUUUCUGAAAAUCAAUUAAAGAACUGUUUAUGCUAAGUUGUUUAGACUUUAUCAGCUAACUGUUUAGUUUUGAGCUUUUCUUUAAUGCACUUUUCAGUUAACAAGUCAACAUCAAUUUCUUUUGCUGUAAAAAAGCUUGAGGAAGGUGGCUUGAGAUUCGUCUUAAGUGUUUAUAGCCUCUUGCCUAUGCAGUCGGAGAGAUUGAGGUCUGCAGCGUAGAUCCUUCGGGGCUAAAUGCAUUUGUGCUAAGUUAUAGCAUUUUAUAGACAACUUGUUGACUAUGAUUUGUCUUGUAGCUUACUCGCUUAUGUUAUUUUACCUACGCUUAGGAUGUUGAAGAUGUAGCACAUCAU
RNAcentral lists this ribosomal RNA (774 nucleotides) under uncultured Neocallimastigales. Its description in RNAcentral is "partial large subunit ribosomal RNA". It matches the Rfam family "Eukaryotic large subunit ribosomal RNA", at positions 24 to 635 of the family's 3401-position model. The record is from RNAcentral. Lineage: Eukaryota; Fungi; Neocallimastigomycota; Neocallimastigomycetes; Neocallimastigales.